Long non-coding RNA from Gekko japonicus, 315 nucleotides. RefSeq lists it as uncharacterized. The transcript is spliced from 3 exons. Lineage: Eukaryota; Metazoa; Chordata; Lepidosauria; Squamata; Gekkonidae. The record is from RefSeq and is a predicted model, not a curated record.
CAGACGGCUGCAGAUCACCAACAAGAAGCUGUCAACGACCUGUCUCCAGGGCUGGGAGUACUUAACGGGAAGAAAAACUGCCAUUAUGCCUCAGGGGUCCGCGGCGCUACGCACCUCGAUCCGGGGAGAAAACGGCACCACACCAGAUUCAAUUGCUGCCUUUCAAGCACUCUGUCUUUCCCCUCGCACCACAAAAGCACCGCGAGGAAGCGUAACCCACACAACCAUGGUCAAAGCGACGUUUUAGACCCAUGCUGGCAACCGCGGGAGCAGCCAGAAAGACUUCUACUCCCCCCUCCUUGAACCAGAUCCGGC